This 230-nucleotide ribosomal RNA is filed under the name uncultured bacterium. RNAcentral describes it as "partial 16S ribosomal RNA". It matches the Rfam family "Bacterial small subunit ribosomal RNA", at positions 108 to 339 of the family's 1533-position model. The record is from RNAcentral.
GCGUAACGCGUAUGCAACCUACCCUGUACUGGGGAAUAGCCCGAAGAAAUUCGGAUUAACACCCCAUAGUAUCCUGAUACGGCAUCGUUGUCAGGAUUAAAGGUUACGGUACAGGAUGGGCAUGCGUCCUAUUAGCUAGAUGGUAAGGUAACGGCUUACCAUGGCUACGAUAGGUAGGGGGCCUGAGAGGGUGAUCCCCCACACUGGUACUGAGACACGGACCAGACUCC